RNAcentral lists this ribosomal RNA (558 nucleotides) under Chiasmocleis ventrimaculata (dotted humming frog). RNAcentral's name for it is "16S ribosomal RNA". The record is from RNAcentral. Lineage: Eukaryota; Metazoa; Chordata; Amphibia; Anura; Microhylidae.
AAAGGAUCUGAGUCCAUCCUUAAGCUUUUUCAUAAAUAAAAAUAAAUUACCAAGCUUAAGAAACAUUCAAAUAAGGUACAGCCUAUUUGAAACAGGAAACAACCUCAAACAUAGGGUAAUAUUAUUCAUAAUAACCAAGUGGGCCUAAGAGCAGCCAACUUUUAAAAAGCGUUAAAGCUUAAUUAUUUAUAACAUAAAUUCCAAAAAUAUUGCCAAACCCUUAAACAAUAUUGAGUGAUUCUAUGCCCAUAUAGAAAACCCAAUGCUAAAACUAGUAACAAGAAGUAAACCUUCUCCUAAAUGUAAACGUAAGCCUAAUAAACCUGGCACCUAUCGCCUGUGAACAAAAAGUGGAAACAACCCAAGAAAAAUCCACUAUCAUUAGCGUUAACCUUACACCAGAACAUUCCAGGAAAGAUUUAAAGGGAAGGAAGGAACUCGGCAAAAAUUAAUCCCGCCUGUUUACCAAAAACAUCGCCUUCUGGAAAAUUAUAGAAGGUCCAGCCUGCCCAGUGACGUAGUUAAACGGCCGCGGUACUCUAACCGUGCAAAGGGCGG